RNAcentral lists this ribosomal RNA (355 nucleotides) under uncultured Neisseria sp. RNAcentral describes it as "bacterial SSU rRNA". It matches the Rfam family "Bacterial small subunit ribosomal RNA", at positions 8 to 359 of the family's 1533-position model. Lineage: Bacteria; Pseudomonadati; Pseudomonadota; Betaproteobacteria; Neisseriales; Neisseriaceae. The record is from RNAcentral.
AGAGUUUGAUCCUGGCUCAGAUUGAACGCUGGCGGCAUGCUUUACACAUGCAAGUCGGACGGCAGCACAGAGAAGCUUGCUUCUUGGGUGGCGAGUGGCGAACGGGUGAGUAACAUAUCGGAACGUACCGAGCAGUGGGGGAUAACUAAUCGAAAGAUUAGCUAAUACCGCAUAUAUUCUGAGGAAGAAAGCAGGGGACCAUUUGGCCUUGCGCUGUUCGAGCGGCCGAUAUCUGAUUAGCUGGUUGGUGGGGUAAAGGCCUACCAAGGCGACGAUCAGUAGCGGGUCUGAGAGGAUGAUCCGCCACACUGGGACUGAGACACGGCCCAGACUCCUACGGGAGGCAGCAGAAGGG